AUGGUCUUUGGAGAUUUCAAAACAGCAUCAUCAGAAUGAGAUCCUGUCUCAAAAAAUAAAAAAAUAACAUCUUUCCCCCAUCAUCCUCCAACACAGGUGCAGCUGGACCUAGCUGAGACAGACCUUUCCCAGGGUGUAGCCCGGUGGUAUGACCUGAUGGACGACAAGGACAAGGGCAGCUCCUAGGAGCUGGCGAGUCCCAGCCUGACUCUGCUCUGUCUUCCUGCCUUCGUCUUGCUCCAUCACCGCCUCAAUGUGAUGAGCCUAAAGCUACGGUCCAAGGGCAGAGCCUGUGCCCUUCAGCCCUUUCACCUAACAGGCCCAUAUUCGGGCCUUUGCCUGACCAAAGAGAAGAACUGUAUGUUCCCUUUACUGCACGGCCUUUAUCCUUCUGGGCCCCUAGGGCGGGGACCUGAGCUGGCUGUUUCCUGCUCUGCCUGCACAUUGUUCUCCCUUCCUCCCAACUCCUCAGGGCCUUCUGUAUCUGUGCCUGGCCACUGGCAGCACUAGCAGUGGUAUUAGCUUAUGCCAAAUACAGCUUUGGAAGGAUCUUUUUUUCUUUAACUAGAUGGUCACCUUCUUCCCUGCCACACAUGGGUGGGAAGGUGGACAGGCUAACCUCUCCAGCUGUGAGCCUCUUAGACUACUGCAUGUAGCAAAUGUUCAGCAGCUCAGGCCCCCAUAUCCAGUUCUGUCCCCACUUUCCUCAACCCUGUC
Molecule: small RNA, 717 nt
Filed under: Pongo abelii (Sumatran orangutan)
Lineage: Eukaryota; Metazoa; Chordata; Mammalia; Primates; Hominidae
Description: retained intron
Source: RNAcentral